RNAcentral lists this ribosomal RNA (200 nucleotides) under uncultured bacterium. Its description in RNAcentral is "partial 16S ribosomal RNA". It matches the Rfam family "Bacterial small subunit ribosomal RNA", at positions 326 to 539 of the family's 1533-position model. The record is from RNAcentral.
ACGCUCGACACCUACGGAAGGCAGCAGUGGGGAAUAUUGGGCAAUGGGCGCAAGCCUGACCCAGCAACGCCGCGUGAAGGAAGAAGGCUUUCGGGUUGUAAACUUCUUUUAUUAAGGACGAAGCAAUGACGGUACUUAAUGAAUAAGCUCCGGCUAAUUACGUGCCAGCAGCCACGGUAAUCUGAGCGGGCUGGCAAGGC